RNAcentral lists this long non-coding RNA (1088 nucleotides) under Androctonus crassicauda. The record is from RNAcentral. Lineage: Eukaryota; Metazoa; Arthropoda; Arachnida; Scorpiones; Buthidae.
AUUUUAUAACUGGUUGGAAAAUUUGGAAAAUUGGUAAAAAAUGCUCUUCUACAGAUCUAAGUAAGAUUUCUGCCAGUAGACUGCCAUAGGGUUUCCUAUAGAUAUUCUGAGUGUUUGUUGGUAAACUCUACCCUUUAAGGUGUAAUAAGAAUUAGCAGAAUAGAUGUGCUAUAUCCUAUCCCUCAAUAAACUGGUUAUAUUACUUGCCUGAAGUAUAUUCUCCAUCAAAAACCUGUAAAAGGCUAGCAUGUAGGCUCUAGACAGGGAUGAGUAAAGACUCAAAGUCAAAAGUUGUAAACCAGUUACUUAUUUCAAGAUUUAUAUUAGGGAGUUUCUUAAGUACUGAAGAAUUUAUUAAGGUUGAUCUGUCUAAUCCUCCCAAUAACACAUUGCAUCAUUUUAGAGUUUUUUCUAAGUUAUAUAUAGGCAAUACCCCUUUUUUUCUGCAAUUGGCCUUGAUGGGAGAGGAUCUUAAUAGGUCUUAAUAUAAGCAAAAAGCCUGGGACAUGUCGGUGCAUCUACUUUCUUACAGUUCAACAAUGUGGGAAGGAUUUGUGGUUAGUGAGCUUGUUCACUUUAGUUAUUAAUGUAGAUGGGUCUUUGGUUAAUUCCUUAGUAUUAGUUUGUCAGAUAUAAGAUUGAAGAAAUGCAUCAUAGAUUCCCCUAUCAAGGAGUACUAUUUUCUUGGUCUUAUCUUCUCUAGUUAUUGUGUAAUUGUUGUUAUCCAACCAGGUUAAAGUUCUUCUAAGUAGAUGGGCAUAUUGUGACAUACAUACUUAAUAUUCAUUAUUAAUAUUCCUCCUACUAGCUUUUUGAUUGAGAUAAGACCACCUCAGUCUUUCCUGUUCUAAGUCAUCUAUUGUGCUAAGUAGUUCUUCUAUUACAGAAAUAUCUUCAUGUAUAGUGGAAAAUGAUCUUAAAGUACAGGGAAGGACCUUUCAUAAAAAAGCUGCUGGGCAUAGGGGGUAAAGUGAUUUUCUCUAUGAUCUUUAUUGUUUGAUUUAUGCUCAGGUGUGUUUUCUCAUUUUUUCUAAGCUGGUGCUUAAAGAUCUAAGAAUUUUGAAAAUAUGUUAGUUAUGAAAAAUGUC